This 29-nucleotide small RNA is filed under the name Bombyx mori (domestic silkworm). RNAcentral's name for it is "ovarian small RNA-13900". Lineage: Eukaryota; Metazoa; Arthropoda; Insecta; Lepidoptera; Bombycidae. The record is from RNAcentral.
CCGGAUGGUACGGCGUUGCCGCGGGAGCA